This 763-nucleotide ribosomal RNA is filed under the name uncultured Streptococcus sp. RNAcentral's name for it is "bacterial SSU rRNA". It matches the Rfam family "Bacterial small subunit ribosomal RNA", at positions 28 to 776 of the family's 1533-position model. The record is from RNAcentral. Lineage: Bacteria; Bacillati; Bacillota; Bacilli; Lactobacillales; Streptococcaceae.
GACGAACGCUGGCGGCGUGCCUAAUACAUGCAAGUAGAACGCUGAAGGAGGAGCUUGCUCUUCUGGAUGAGUUGCGAACGGGUGAGUAACGCGUAGGUAACCUGCCUGGUAGCGGGGGAUAACUAUUGGAAACGAUAGCUAAUACCGCAUAAGAGUAGAUGUUGCAUGACAUUUGCUUAAAAGGUGCAAUUGCAUCACUACCAGAUGGACCUGCGUUGUAUUAGCUAGUUGGUGGGGUAACGGCUCACCAAGGCAACGAUACAUAGCCGACCUGAGAGGGUGAUCGGCCACACUGGGACUGAGACACGGCCCAGACUCCUACGGGAGGCAGCAGUAGGGAAUCUUCGGCAAUGGACGGAAGUCUGACCGAGCAACGCCGCGUGAGUGAAGAAGGUUUUCGGAUCGUAAAGCUCUGUUGUAAGAGAAGAACGAGUGUGAGAGUGGAAAGUUCACACUGUGACGGUAUCUUACCAGAAAGGGACGGCUAACUACGUGCCAGCAGCCGCGGUAAUACGUAGGUCCCGAGCGUUGUCCGGAUUUAUUGGGCGUAAAGCGAGCGCAGGCGGUUAGAUAAGUCUGAAGUUAAAGGCUGUGGCUUAACCAUAGUACGCUUUGGAAACUGUUUAACUUGAGUGCAAGAGGGGAGAGUGGAAUUCCAUGUGUAGCGGUGAAAUGCGUAGAUAUAUGGAGGAACACCGGUGGCGAAAGCGGCUCUCUGGCUUGUAACUGACGCUGAGGCUCGAAAGCGUGGGGAGCAAACAGG